RNAcentral lists this ribosomal RNA (239 nucleotides) under uncultured bacterium. RNAcentral's name for it is "partial 16S ribosomal RNA". It matches the Rfam family "Bacterial small subunit ribosomal RNA", at positions 96 to 334 of the family's 1533-position model. The record is from RNAcentral.
CGGCGGACGGGUGAGUAACGCGUGGGUAACCGUACCUCAUACAGGGGAGUAACAGUUGGAAACGGCUGCUAAUACCGCAUAAGCGCACAGUACCGCAUGGUACCGUGUGAAAAACUCCGGUGGUAUGAGAUGGACCCGCGUCUGAUUAGCUAGUUGGUGGGGUAACGGCCUACCAAGGCGACGAUCAGUAGCCGACCUGAGAGGGUGACCGGCCACAUUGGGACUGAGACACGGCCCAA